AUCCAGAUGACGAGUGCCAACUAGGACGAAAUGCGCGUUAUCCUGGAU
This 48-nucleotide non-coding RNA is filed under the name Trichobilharzia regenti. The record is from RNAcentral. Lineage: Eukaryota; Metazoa; Platyhelminthes; Trematoda; Strigeidida; Schistosomatidae.